This 44-nucleotide non-coding RNA is filed under the name Schistosoma margrebowiei. The record is from RNAcentral. Lineage: Eukaryota; Metazoa; Platyhelminthes; Trematoda; Strigeidida; Schistosomatidae.
AUCCGGCUGAUGAGUUCAAAAUAGGGCGAAAUCGGAUUCUGGAU